ACGCUUCUUUCCUCCCGAGUGCUUGCACUCAAUUGGAAAGAGGAGUGGCGGACGGGUGAGUAACACGUGGGUAACCUACCCAUCAGAGGGGGAUAACACUUGGAAACAGGUGCUAAUACCGCAUAACAGUUUAUGCCGCAUGGCAUAAGAGUGAAAGGCGCUUUCGGGUGUCGCUGAUGGAUGGACCCGCGGUGCAUUAGCUAGUUGGUGAGGUAACGGCUCACCAAGGCCACGAUGCAUAGCCGACCUGAGAGGGUGAUCGGCCACACUGGGACUGAGACACGGCCCAGACUCCUACGGGAGGCAGCAGUAGGGAAUCUUCGGCAAUGGACGAAAGUCUGACCGAGCAACGCCGCGUGAGUGAAGAAGGUUUUCGGAUCGUAAAACUCUGUUGUUAGAGAAGAACAAGGACGUUAGUAACUGAACGUCCCCUGACGGUAUCUAACCAGAAAGCCACGGCUAACUACGUGCCAGCAGCCGCGGUAAUACGUAGGUGGCAAGCGUUGUCCGGAUUUAUUGGGCGUAAAGCGAGCGCAGGCGGUUUCUUAAGUCUGAUGUGAAAGCCCCCGGCUCAACCGGGGAGGGUCAUUGGAAACUGGGAGACUUGAGUGCAGAAGAGGAGAGUGGAAUUCCAUGUGUAGCGGUGAAAUGCGUAGAUAUAUGGAGGAACACCAGUGGCGAAGGCGGCUCUCUGGUCUGUAACUGACGCUGAGGCUCGAAA
This 721-nucleotide ribosomal RNA is filed under the name uncultured Bacilli bacterium. RNAcentral describes it as "bacterial SSU rRNA". It matches the Rfam family "Bacterial small subunit ribosomal RNA", at positions 66 to 758 of the family's 1533-position model. Lineage: Bacteria; Bacillati; Bacillota; Bacilli. The record is from RNAcentral.